This is a non-coding RNA of Meleagris gallopavo (turkey), 2845 nucleotides long. NCBI's taxonomy places the organism in Eukaryota, Metazoa, Chordata, Aves, Galliformes, Phasianidae. The record is from RefSeq and is a predicted model, not a curated record.
UAGAUGCAGUGAGGCCUCUACAUAUAUAAAUAGAAAUGAGGGGGCUGAGGCUUUAAGCCCAGUUUAGAAAGAAAGGCAUUUUCAAGGAUCUUCAGGAUGCUACCAGCUCUGAUAGUAAUCAUUGCUAAGAGCGAUUAGUUCUUCUAGAGUUCUGAACAAACUCAGGAAUUCAGGGACAAAAUGGAGAACUCACUGCUCUAACAAAUGACGCUCCCUUCAUCAGCCCCAGACAUACCUCGCUUCUGACUUUUCCACACACAAGAAAGCAGCCUCUCAGUUGCAACUCUUUCCAACGUUGGUUGUUUUGGAAUAUUUAAAUGUGGAAUCUGUCUGUCUCUGUUCCUUCCAGGAUGUCAUUUCUUAUAGCAAAAAGCUUUCUAAGGAGAACAAGAAACAGUUCUCUGACACGAUCAUGCCGAACAAGAGAACAGAAAUAAAAGCUGGAAGUCUGUCAUAUCUUUUCUACUUCCUUCAGGCGCCACAGAACAAGAUAUCAAAGAAAGAAGACCAACUCACUAGCAACAGCCUGAAAAAAUGGAUGAGCUGAGUGAGGAACAUAGCCCUCAACCGUGAUGCCCGUGGUCAGAACACCUUCAGGCAGAUGCUGCCAAAAGUUGCAAAUGAAAGAACUGAUGACAAAUCACUCAAUAACAAAGUGUUGCUCAGCUGUUUUGCAUUGCUCUAUUAAUCAUUCAAAACCAUCCUUGGCUUCACUGCAUGCAUCUGUCCAAUUGAUAACAGCUUUGUUCAUCAUCUCAGACACAGGGAGGAAAAAAAAAAAAGCAUGACAACAUCAAUGCGACUCGAUGCCAAGCCCAUAGAAGAUUUUUUCCGCGGUCUCUGCUGCCACCGCAUGGCCAAAGUGAAGAACUGUGUCCGUAUCGAUUUGGAAUAGCGGAAAGCAAGACUCAUGCACGCACCGAGACUGACGCAUGCGUACUCCUGUGCCAUAAAAAGCGCAUGCGCAGCGCGGAAUCCAGACCGGCGUAUACGCAUUGUUGAUCUGAGAUUGGCGCAUGCGUAGUAUAGUGCCGUAAUGUUAUGCGGGAACUGAUGCAGGCAUAUUGCUCUGCUGGAUGAGGCGCAUGUGUAUUGCUCUGACGGAUCUGGUGCACGCGUACUCAUGAACCAGAAGCAGUGCAUGCGUACUUAUGCGUCAAAUCUAGCGCAUGCGUAGUGCGCUGCCGAAACUCACGCAGUUAUACGCAAGAUCUGGCGCAUGUGUAGUGCUCUGCCAGAACUAGCACAUGCGUAUUGCUGUGCCCGAUCUGGCGCAUGCAUAAUACACUGCGUAACUUUAGCGCAUGCGUACUGGCGUACCUCAAGUGAUACAUGCGUAGUGACGUGCCUGAACUGGCGCAUGCGAAGUGCAGAACAGAGUAGGCGCAUGCGUAGUGGCAUGCCUCAAAUGGCACAUGCGUGGUGGGGGGGUGCCACAAUUAGCGUAUGCGUAUUGAUGUUCCGGAAUUGGCGCAUGCGUGGUGCAGUGCCGAAACUGGCGCAGACGUAAUUUCUCAACUGGCGCAUGCGCACGAGCGUUCCUCAAUUGGCGCAUGCGUAGUGGCAUGCCUGAAAAGGCGAACGCUUGGUGAUGUGCCACAAUAUGCGCAUUCAUGGUGCCGUGCCAGGACUGGCGCACGGGUAGUACAGUGCCUCAAUUGGCACAUGCUUAUUAAUGUGUGUCAACUCCUGCAUACGUACCGAAUGUGCCAGCUCUGGCGCAUGCGUAGUGCAAUGACAAAAUUAGCGCAUGCAUAUUGAUAACCACGAACUAGCGCAUGAGUAACGACGUGGUUUAACUGGCGCAAGCGUAGUGUACUGUCUCCAAUAGCGCAUGCAGUGAUGUCCCUGAAGAUGCGCAUGCGUAGUGAUAUGCCGGAUCAGGCGCAUGCGUAAUGCAGCGCAUGUGUAGUGGAGUGCUGUGAACUGGCGCAUGCGUAGUGCUGUACGGGAUCACGCUCAUGCUCGUUUAUUUGACAGAGGGGGUUGGACUGAAUGAUUUCUGGAGGUCCCUUGCAACCCUAGUUCUGUGAUUCUAUUCGUUGCUUCUUGCAGCAGUACAGUGUUUCAGAAGAGAGAAAAGUAUGGUGGGCAUAAAUUGGAUUUCUGGUAAACAGGUAAACCUGUUCAGUAUGUGGAUGAUUUGCUGAUUUGUGGAAAAGAAGAGUCUAAAGUAAAAGAGACUGCAAGUAAAAUUCUGAAUUUCUUGGGGAAUAGGGGCUAAGAGUGUUUAAAAAUAAACUGUAGUAUGUGGAAAAAGAAGUCAGAUACCUUGGGCAUGUGAUUUCGGAAGGGAAAUUGAGAAUUCUGAAAGAACUCAGGGCAUUGUGCAGCUUCAUCUGCCCAGGACAAAGAGGGAAUGGCAAAAGUUUCUUGGUUUACUUGGAUACUGUAUUUUGUGAGUAGAAGAAUAUGUACGAAAAACGAAGAUCCUAUGUCAAACUAUCACAGGGAGAACCCCACAUAUUAAAAUGGAGAAAAGAGGGAAAUGAAUUAGUAGAAGUAUUGAAGCAGGACUUAAUCACAGCACCUGUGUUAGAACUGCCUGCCUUAAAGGAACCAUUUCACCUUUUCAUAACUGACAGUGAAAGAGCUGUUUUAGGUGUUCUAACACAAGAAUAGGGAGACAAAAGAAAAUCUAUUGCAUACUUGUCCAAGGCAUUAGACCCUGUAUCUCGAGGUUGGCCAGAAUGUGUCCAGGUGGUAGCAGCAACUGCUUUAAUGGUACAAGAGAGUAUGUGUUUGCUCUUUUGGGGGUGUAAGGAGGAAAUUGUUGAGUUGUCAAUAGUACGUGUUCCCCCCCUAUGAGAUUGCUCCACAUCUUGAGGCAUGAUCGUUAACAAAA